GGCUCAUUAUAACAGCUAUAAUUUACUUGAUCUUGACACUAUCCUACUUGGAUAACUGUGGUAAUUCUAGAGCUAAUACAUGCAUUAAAGCUCCGACCUCACGGGAAGAGUGCAUUUAUUAGAACAAAACCAAGCGGCUUCGGCUGUUUCUGGUUGACUCAUAGUAACUGAGCUGAUCGCAUGGGCUUGUACCGGCGACGUGUCUUUCAAGUAUCUGCCGUAUCAACUUUCGAUGGUAGUGUAUCUGACUACCAUGGUGAUCACGCGUAACGGAGAAUAAGGGUUCGGCUCCGGAGAGUUCGCCUGAGAAAUCGCGAACACAUCUAAGGAAGGCAGCAGGCGCGAAAAUUACCCACUCUCAGCACGAGGAGGUAGUGACGAAAAAUAACGAGACCGUUCUCUUUGAGGCCGGUCAUCGGAAUGGGUACAAUUUAAACCCUUUAACGAGUAUCUAUGAGAGGGCAAGUCUGGUGCCAGCAGCCGCGGUAAUUCCAGCUCUCAAAGUGCAUAGAAUUAUUGCUGCGGUUAAAAAGCUCGUAGUUGGAUCUGUGCCAUAGGACUGGGUCCACUUUCGGGUGCGUACUCCGCUCCUAGGCUUUUUGACGGUUUUCCCGUCCUAGCCUUUACUGGUUGCGGCGGGUGGCUGUCGAGUUUACUUUGAGAAAAUCAGAGUGCUCAAUACAGGCGUAUCGCUUGAAUGAUUGUGCAUGGAAUAAUAGAAAAGGAUUUCGGUCCUCUUUUAUUGGUUUUGUGGACUGAGAUAAUGGUUAACAGGGACAAACGGGGGCAUUCGUAUCGCUGCGUGAGAGGUGAAAUUCUUGGACCGUAGCGAGACGCCCUACUGC
This 845-nucleotide ribosomal RNA is filed under the name Acrobeles aenigmaticus. RNAcentral's name for it is "SSU rRNA". It matches the Rfam family "Eukaryotic small subunit ribosomal RNA", at positions 95 to 946 of the family's 1831-position model. The record is from RNAcentral. Lineage: Eukaryota; Metazoa; Nematoda; Chromadorea; Rhabditida; Cephalobidae.